UACAGAGGUCCCAAGCGUUGUUCGGAUUCAUUGGGCGUAAAGGGUGCGUAGGCGGCGCGGUAAGUCGGGUGUGAAAUCUCGGGGCUUAACUCCGAAACUGCAUUCGAUACUGCCGUGCUUGAGGACUGGAGAGGAGACUGGAAUUUACGGUGUAGCGGUGAAAUGCGUAGAUAUCGUAAGGAAGACCAGUGGCGAAGGCGAGUUCCUGGACAGUUACUGACACUGAGGCACGAAGGCCAGGGGAGCAAACGGG
This 253-nucleotide ribosomal RNA is filed under the name uncultured bacterium. RNAcentral's name for it is "partial 16S ribosomal RNA". It matches the Rfam family "Bacterial small subunit ribosomal RNA", at positions 524 to 776 of the family's 1533-position model. The record is from RNAcentral.